RNAcentral lists this long non-coding RNA (1979 nucleotides) under Salvia miltiorrhiza (redroot sage). RNAcentral's name for it is "long non-coding RNA (SMIL_LNC000662)". The record is from RNAcentral. Lineage: Eukaryota; Viridiplantae; Streptophyta; Magnoliopsida; Lamiales; Lamiaceae.
GAAAAAGUUUAUGUUAAACUGGUGUUUUAUAUAUUAUAUAGAUUAGAUCAUUACCCACAAUAUACACGGCUCAGAUUUUACAUUAAUCGAUAAGCAAGAUUUUAUUUCUGUAAGAAAAAAAAAAAAAAAUUGAUACACACUCUUCACUCAUUGGUCAUGAAACCUAAAUGUUGGGCUUUUGAGCUUUGGAGAGUCCUAUGUACAACGCUGUCUCCACUUCGACAGUUUGUGCCUUCGGUUGAACAAUAGGUGACAAUUGCAGCUGCAGUGUUUCGCACUGUCAAAUCAGAUCAAUGAAAAUUAAAAACUAAUUAAUAGGUAAUUGUGUUUCCAUAUAUAUAUAUAUAUAUAACUAAACUUUUAUCAAAUUCAAAUUUCGAACGUGAAUUACAAAUUCUAUCUUCAAAUAUAAGAAUUUUUAAUUGUUGUGAUUUUUUUACAUGUAAGCUCUCAAAUUAAUAUUAAUGUAGACGCCUGAAAUAUUUAAUGGCUUAAAAGAUCAAUGUACUAAACGACGUAGUUGAAUGUCAAGACGUUCAACUAGUCACUAUAACAUUAAUUUGUCACUUGAGCUAACUAAGAUGACAUUAAUUUAUCAUUUGAGCUAGCUACGUUUGAUAUUAAUUCGCCAAAAAUUAAGAACCGUAUAAAAGAUUAGAAAAAUAGAAAAUUCGUGUAUUUGAAGGCAGAAUUUUAAAAUCAUGUGAAAAAGUAAAAUCAAAAAUCGGGUGAAAGUUCUUCUUUUUAAGCACAAUUAUCCCGAAAAUAAAUUCUAAAUUUGAAAUUUAUUACCCACUUUCUUUCUCAACUGUAGAUGUUCUUUCAUUAGAUGCUUCUCCUGCAUCAUCAAAUAUACAACAUCAAAAAGCACAAUUAUCCCUAAAAUGAAAUUCCACCGUUUGGUCUUGAAAUAUAUAAAAACACACAAACACAGUACAUAUAUAUACCUGUUCCUUCAGCAGAUCAAUUUGCUCUUUGAAUACCGUAUUCUGUGAAUGAGAGGGAAAACAAGUUUCGUAUAGUAUAUAUUGAGGAACCAAUUGCAUAUACACACUAAUUUAUUUUGCCAAGAUAAAAAGCAUAGGAUUAUUUUUAAAUUAUAACCCGAACCUUGACUCUAUAGCAAUUUUGGAGCCCAAACUUAAAAAUAUUAUAAAUUGAUAUACUUUGUACUUAUUAAAUUCCAUUGUUCACUUAAUUUCCGUUGUUCACUUAUGGGUGUAUUUUCUUUGAGGGUGCGUUCUCUUUAUUGAAAUUUAUAAUGGAAAAAAGGAUAAACAAAAUUUCAUCCUUUAAAUCUAAUCUUUCUUUUCCCUUAUUUCCUACAAAAUAGGAUUUGACACUUACUCAUUCCUCAUUUUCACUGUAAAUGAGGGAUAAUAUUAUCAAACCAAAAAUUGAAGGAUAAUAUUAUCCCUCCUUUGUAGUGAAAAUGAUGAAUGAAUAAAGGUCAAAUUCUAUUUUGUAGGAAAUGAGGAAAAAUAAAAGAGAGAUUUAAAGGCAUGAAAUUUGUUUAUUCCUCAUUUUCCCAUGAUAAAUUUACAACCAAAGAGAACGCACCUGAUUGAUAAAUUUAUCAUUUGAAAAUGAAGGAUAACAAAAAUUUAUCAAUUAUAUGUCUAAUUUUUUUUCCCAACAUUUGACACAAAAGAUAAGUUCACAAUUUUUCUUUCCUUAUUUAUUUCACUUCAAGGAUGGAUAAUAUUAUCCCUCCUUUGUAGUGAAAAUGAGGAAUGAAUAAGGGUCAAGUAGGAAAUGAGGAAAAAGAAGGAUUUAAAGGGUGAAUUUUUAUUUAUCCUUUCUUUUUCCAUAAUAAAUUUACAACCAAAGAGAACGCACCCUAAAGGGAUAAAUUUGUGUUAUCCUUCCUUGUCCAAUGAUAAAUUUAUCUAUCAAAGUAAACGCACCCUGAUUGAUAAAUUUAUCAUGAAAAAAAGAAGGAUAACAAAAAUUUUAUCAUUUAAAUGCAUCAUUUUUUU